UAGAACGAGGCUGUCCACUCUAGCUCUUUGAAGCCGUAGAAGGGUUGCUUUGGAGGUGUUAGUUUUAAAAGUCUUUCUCUUUUAAGCUGUAUCCCAUCAGCUUUAAUUAUAGCAAUGACUCAAGUACUAUCAGUAGGAGUCCAGAACUGUGGCCGACUCUGGAGAUCCCAAAAUGAACAAAUCAAGGUUCCGGCUCCCAAGGCCUUCUUAACUGGGUGUGCGGACUUGAAGCGUAUUGGUGAGACUGUCGGUGGGGACCAUGCCCCCCCCCAUUAUAUGGACUCUGAGACUGGCUCCACAUCCAACAUAUGGAUCUCUUACAGGAUGCCACAGUACAGUUGAUGGUCAUGUGUCCUCUCGGCUGUGACAGCUACUCGGACUUUCCCUAUUUUUGAUGACCUUCACAGUUUUGAGGACUACUGGUCAGGUCAGUUUUGGCUAAGGAAUGAAGACAAUGGCCACUGCAUUCCAAGAUACCACUGGGACAGUAAUUCUCAGUUGACCACGGAAAACCUGAAGAGAGGAGUCACUGACAUGGGAGGU
Molecule: long non-coding RNA, 543 nt
Organism: Mustela erminea (ermine)
Lineage: Eukaryota; Metazoa; Chordata; Mammalia; Carnivora; Mustelidae
Exons: 4
Source: RefSeq, a predicted model, not a curated record